GGGGCUGUGGCGCAGCUGGGAGCGCGCUUCACUGGCAGUGAAGAGGUCAGGGGUUCGAUCCCCCUCAGCUCCACCA
RNAcentral lists this transfer RNA (76 nucleotides) under Nitrospinota bacterium. RNAcentral describes it as "tRNA-Ala". It matches the Rfam family "tRNA". From Rfam's summary of the family: Transfer RNA (tRNA) molecules are approximately 80 nucleotides in length. Their secondary structure includes four short double-helical elements and three loops (D, anti-codon, and T loops). Lineage: Bacteria; Pseudomonadati; Nitrospinota. The record is from RNAcentral.